GAUGAACGCUGACAGAAUGCUUAACACACGCAAGUCAACUUGAACUUCGGUUUGGGUGGCGGACGGGUGAGUAACGCGUAAAGAACUUGCCUCACAGAUAGGGACAACAUUUGGAAACGAAUGCUAAUACCUGAUAUUAUGAUUAUAUGGCAUCGUAUAAUUAUGAAAGCUAUAUGCGCUGUGAGAGAGCUUUGCGUCCCAUUAGCUAGUUGGAGAGGUAACGGCUCACCAAGGCGAUGAUGGGUAGCCGGCCUGAGAGGGUGAUCGGCCACAAGGGGACUGAGACACGGCCCUUACUCCUACGGGAGGCAGCAGUGGGGAAUAUUGGACAAUGGACCAAGAGUCUGAUCCAGCAAUUCUGUGUGCACGAUGAAGUUUUUCGGAAUGUAAAGUGCUUUCAGUUGGGAAGAAAAAAAUGACGGUACCAACAGAAGAAGUGACGGCUAAAUACGUG
This 454-nucleotide ribosomal RNA is filed under the name uncultured bacterium. Its description in RNAcentral is "partial 16S ribosomal RNA". It matches the Rfam family "Bacterial small subunit ribosomal RNA", at positions 28 to 507 of the family's 1533-position model. The record is from RNAcentral.